RNAcentral lists this transfer RNA (76 nucleotides) under Bacillota bacterium. RNAcentral describes it as "tRNA-Arg". It matches the Rfam family "tRNA". From Rfam's summary of the family: Transfer RNA (tRNA) molecules are approximately 80 nucleotides in length. Their secondary structure includes four short double-helical elements and three loops (D, anti-codon, and T loops). Lineage: Bacteria; Bacillati; Bacillota. The record is from RNAcentral. RNAcentral also lists the same sequence under 1 other name.
GAGGCAUUAGCUCAGUGGAUAGAGCACCAGACUUCGGAUCUGGGUGUCAGGAGUUCGAAUCUUCUAUGCCUCGCCA